GACGAACGCUGGCGGCGUGCUUAACACAUGCAAGUCGAACGGAAAGGCCCUGCUUUUGUGGGGUGCUCGAGUGGCGAACGGGUGAGUAACACGUGAGUAACCUGCCCUUGACUUUGGGAUAACUUCAGGAAACUGGGGCUAAUACCGGAUAGGAGCUCCUGCUGCAUGGUGGGGGUUGGAAAGUUUCGGCUGUUGGGGAUGGACGCGCGGCUUAUCAGCUUGUUGGUGGGGUAGUGGCUUACCAAGGCUUUGACGGGUAGCCGGCCUGAGAGGGUGACCGGGCACAUUGGGACUGAGAUACGGCCCAGACUCCUACGGGAGACAGCAGUGGGAAGUAUUGCACAAUGGGCGGACGCCUGAUGCAGAAACGCCGCGUGCGGGAUGACGGCCUUCGGGUUGUAAACCGCUUUCGCCUGUGACGAAGCGUGAGUGACGGUAAUGGGUAAAGAAGCACCGGCUAACUACGUG
This 468-nucleotide ribosomal RNA is filed under the name uncultured bacterium. RNAcentral describes it as "partial 16S ribosomal RNA". It matches the Rfam family "Bacterial small subunit ribosomal RNA", at positions 28 to 507 of the family's 1533-position model. The record is from RNAcentral.